CAGCAGCCGCGGGAAUACGAAGGGGGCUAGCGUUGUUCGGAAUCACUGGGCGUAAAGCGCACGUAGGCGGACUUUUAAGUCAGAGGUGAAAUCCCAAGGCUCAACCUUGGAACUGCCUUUGAUACUGGGAGUCUUGAGUUCGGGAGAGGUGAGUGGAACUGCGAGUGUAGAGGUGAAAUUCGUAGAUAUUCGCAAGAACACCAGUGGCGAAGGCGGCUCACUGGCCCGAUACUGACGCUGAGGUGCGAAGGCGUGGGGAGCAAACAGGAUUAGAUACCCCAGUAGUCCCUGUCUCUUAUAC
Molecule: ribosomal RNA, 301 nt
Filed under: uncultured bacterium
Lineage: Bacteria
Description: partial 16S ribosomal RNA
Rfam family: Bacterial small subunit ribosomal RNA
Source: RNAcentral